ACAGCAGCCGCCGCGGGAAUACGGAGGGGGCUAGCGUUGUUCGGAAUUACUGGGCGUAAAGCGUACGUAGGCGGCUUUGUAAGUUAGAGGUGAAAGCCUGGUGCUCAACACCAGAACUGCCUUUAAGACUGCAUCGCUUGAGCGUCGGAGAGGUGAGUGGAAUUCCGAGUGUAGAGGUGAAAUUCGUAGAUAUUCGGAAGAACACCAGUGGCGAAGGCGGCUCACUGGACGACUGUUGACGCUGAGGUACGAAAGCGUGGGGAGCAAACAGGAUUAGAUACCCCAGUAGUCCCUGUCUCUUAUAC
RNAcentral lists this ribosomal RNA (305 nucleotides) under uncultured bacterium. RNAcentral's name for it is "partial 16S ribosomal RNA". It matches the Rfam family "Bacterial small subunit ribosomal RNA", at positions 508 to 807 of the family's 1533-position model. The record is from RNAcentral.